Molecule: ribosomal RNA, 529 nt
Filed under: bacterium enrichment culture clone Cont72_3130
Lineage: Bacteria
Description: bacterial SSU rRNA
Rfam family: Bacterial small subunit ribosomal RNA
Source: RNAcentral
AGAGUUUGAUCAUGGCUCAGAACGAACGCUGGCGGCGUGCUUAACACAUGCAAAGUCGAAACGCGAAAAGUUUUCUUCGGGAAGACGAGUAGAGUGGCGCACGGGUGAGUAACGCGUAAGUAAUCUACCCCGGCAUCUGGAAUAACUCACCGAAAGGUGUGCUAAUGCCGGAUACGUUGGUAACAAGAAAGGUGGCCUCUGCAUAUGCUACCGUGCUGGGAUGAGCUUGCGUACCAUUAGCUAGUUGGUAGGGUAAAGGCCUACCAAGGCGACGAUGGUUAGCKGGUCUGAGAGGAUGAUCAGCCACACUGGAACUGGAACACRGUCCAGACUCCUACGGGAGGCAGCAGUGAGGAAUUUUGCGCAAUAGGGGAAACCCUGACGCAGCAACGCCGCGUGAGUGAAGAAGGCCUUCGGGUCGUAAAGCUCUGUCAAGUGGGAAAAAACGCAGUCGGUGAAUAGCCGGGCUGAAUUGAUGGUACCACUAGAGGAAGCACCGGCUAACUCCGUGCCAGCCGCCGCGGUAAUA